Long non-coding RNA from Papaver somniferum (opium poppy), 1612 nucleotides. RefSeq lists it as uncharacterized. The transcript is spliced from 8 exons. NCBI's taxonomy places the organism in Eukaryota, Viridiplantae, Streptophyta, Magnoliopsida, Ranunculales, Papaveraceae. The record is from RefSeq and is a predicted model, not a curated record.
AUGUGCUAUAUGCAUCGCAAAGAACUGAGCUAUAAGAGCAACAUUGGCUACGUUUCACGCUUUCCUUUCAUGGUUUCCUCUGGGCUACAUAUUUGAAUCCCCACUGGGUGUGGCAGCAUAUAGGAAUCUUACUCUCCAAUGUUUGUCUGAGGUAGCUGCCUUUCAGUUUAGAGACUUCUAUAACAUGAAGUAUGUGAAAAUGUGCACUGUUUUCAUUUCACAAUUACAGCCUUGUAGGGAUGGAGUUUGAGUCUAAUAUAUUGAGUUUAAUGCUGGAGAUGAGGUGGCGGUGUUCAGUUCAUGUAGUAAACAUGCUUAUAUUUCCUAGCAACUCAAGACUGAGAGCAUCACUAGUCAGCUCUUCCUUCUUCACUGGUCUUAGCAGAAGCACAUGGUCUGCAGUUUGAAGCUAAGUCCAGGACCCAGCUGUGGCUGGAGCAUCAAUAUAAGCCUUUCUUUCAAAUCUUAAAAAAUAUUUAUCGCUUCUUCCUCUUACCCAAAGGUCAAGAAAUCUGGCAUGAGUUGUUUCUUGUCUCUGUGAAUUCUUUCAUAUUGCUUGCAGGAUUUAAUGUUGAGACUGUUGAAUACAAGAACAUUAGCUUCACUGUCUGGCAUGUUGGGGUCAAGAAAUAUAUGAAUUUUGCUACAUUUUUUGUUUUCUGUUCUUUUUUGCAUUUUAUGUUGUUACAAAGGUAAUUAGUUAUAUCAUUUCUUUUACAGAUCCCUCCAUUAUAGAGACACUACUUCCAAAACACAUAAGGUCUUAUUUUCGUAGUUGAAAGCAAUGAUAGAGACCGCGUUAUUAAGGCAAGGGAUGAACUGCAGACGAAUUUUAGUGAGCAAACAUAUUUCAUCUCCUAGUUUCCCAGUGCAUAUCUUGUCCGGUGCAGUCCUAGUCCUAGGAAAAUGAGUGCAUCUCCUUGUCGUGCUUUAUUGCAGGCUUUUGUGAAGUUUGUCUAACUGAUAGAAGUGGCAUUUUCUUACUUCAGUUAGUGUUUUUAUUACCUUGCUUGGUGCUGACUUCAUGAGAAUGAAAUCUUUCGGCAAAGUUGAAGAGUUUGCGGAGACUCUGGUUAGUAAACUAGAUAGAAGUUGAAAAAAGGGCAUCUGCAAGACUUACCGCAUGCAAAAUUCUCAAACGUAGGUAGAAGAUAACGGAGAAGAACAUGAAGAGCAUGGAAUCCAAGAAGAAGAGGUUGUUGAUGUCGAUGUUGAUUCUACAGAUGGCGCUAUUGUUACAAUUCUUUUUGACAAUGGAUACUCUCAUGGUGUACAUUGGUUUUGCAGGUCACAGAUAUGAGUAGUAAGUGCGACUAUUUACAAGGCUGGUUAUGAAGAAACAAGAAGCUAUACUUGUUUGAGCAUGUAGGUAAUGAAUGCUGAGCUUGUCUCCAUUCUUGUGCCUUUAAGAUUGUACCUACUACUUCUAUUACACUUCACCUUACAACUGCAACUGCAGAAUUUCUAUGUUAUGAAAACUUAGGAAAUGUUUACAUACUUGUCAUUUUUUUGAUACUACGCAUAGAAUUUAUAUGUCCUUGGAACUUAAGAAAUAUUUCUAGCUACAGAUUGGAACUUAAGAAAUUUAUAUGUAUUGCCUAAGUAGUUCUUU